GCGGGAAUAGCUCAGCUGGUAGAGCAAUGGCCUUCCAAGCCAUUUGUCGCGGGUUCGAACCCCGUUUCCCGCUCCA
This 76-nucleotide transfer RNA is filed under the name Candidatus Poribacteria bacterium. RNAcentral describes it as "tRNA-Gly". It matches the Rfam family "tRNA". From Rfam's summary of the family: Transfer RNA (tRNA) molecules are approximately 80 nucleotides in length. Their secondary structure includes four short double-helical elements and three loops (D, anti-codon, and T loops). Lineage: Bacteria; Candidatus Poribacteria. The record is from RNAcentral.